AAGGGAGAGGAACACGUGGGUAUCUACCCCCGGAUUCAGGAUAGCUAUGGGAAACUAUAGGUAAUACUGAAUAACGUCUCCGGACCAAAGGUGUGAUUCCGUCCGGGGAGGGGCCCGCGUCCUAUUAGCUAGUUGGCGAGGUAAUGGCUCACCAAGGCGAAGAUGGGUACGGGAUGUGAGAGCAUGAUCCCGCUCAUUGGGACUGAGACACUGCCCAGACACCUACGGGUGGCUGCAGUCGAGAAUCUUCGGCAAUGGGGGAAACCCUGACCGAGCGACGCCGCGUGUGAGAUGAAGGCCUUCGGGUUGUAAAUCACUGUCAGAGGGGAGGAAAUGCUAGUGGGUUCUCCCACUAGUUUGACCUAGCCUCAGAGGAAGGACGGGCUAAGUUCGUGCCAGCAGCCGCGGUAAGACGAACCGUCCAAACGUUAUUCGGAAUUACUGGGCUUAAAGGGUGCGUAGGCGGUCUGACAAGUUGGGUGUGAAAGCCCUCAGCUCAACUGAGGAACUGCGCCCAAAACUGUUGAACUCGAGGGAGACAUAGGUGAGCGGAACUUAGGGU
Molecule: ribosomal RNA, 562 nt
Filed under: uncultured bacterium
Lineage: Bacteria
Description: bacterial SSU rRNA
Rfam family: Bacterial small subunit ribosomal RNA
Source: RNAcentral